AUGGAACUGCAAGGCCUGCAAGAGGCGCUGAAAGUAGAGAUCCAAUGUCAUCAGAAUCAGACGUUGUGCAAAGGCCUCAAUGAACUUCAGAACGGACAGGAGUCCAUCUGCUGGCCUCCAGCUCGCCCCUCCUCCCUCGCCUCAGACAACCAACACCCUCUAGCCUCACCCCUCCUCCUCCUCCUCUUUGCUGGGAAAGCCAGCUGUCCUCCCCUUACUCUAUUGCUCCAUCACUGAUGAGCUGAAGAGGCUGCUCAGAAAACUUGGCCUGAGCACAUUCUUACGGUUACGAUAAUUUCAUUUAAAAAGCUUCAGCUGAAAUAAAUGAAUGUGAUUAGUCUGGUCCACACAGGCCGACUUUCAUCCACAGUCUCAGCACGUAGAUGGCAUUUAUAGUCAGGAAAGGAAAACCAACACAUGCAAAAUCAUAUUAAACAAACAUUAAUAUAAAUACUAUCAAUAAAAACUCAUACACAAGAGCACAUGAAUGCGAUUAAGAAAAGCAGACUUACAGUGACACUGCUGGACUGUUUUACAGGUUUGGACUUGGAAUAUUUCAGCAGUUUUCUAAAAGUUAUUUUAACACUUCUGCUGGAAGACGCACAGGUAGAUGUGGAUAUGCUUUGACUUUGUUUACUUUAAUAAGCUCAUUCAGAAGAGGAGACCAGCCGGGCUGUAAAAAAGUUUGUACACAAAUAAAAUCUCUGCAUAUUUAAUCAUGUUUUCCAAGUUUAAGAAACUCUGGUUCCACUGAUGAUGAAUUUCUGAGGUUUUCAGCACCUGCUUACAGUCUUGGUGUUGAUUUCUGUAAAAAUAUCCCUAAACUUAACUCUGUUCACAACUCUUGUGAUUUUUCAUGUAUGAACCGCUGACGGUCAUCUCCUGCUAAUGUCAACUUAUGCUAUUCCAACAUGAGUAUUAACUAUUAGUGAAGCAGUGUCCUGUUGAAUGCAUCUUUCUCUAGCAGACAUGCCUGUUAUUAAACUUUGAUAACUUCACUGACUGACUGUAUCAGAGCUGAACUGCUGCUUGUCAGUUUAUUAUGUAGGAUCCCAGAUGACACAUUUUUGCUGCUGUUUCAUAAAAAUAGUCCAGCAACUUUUAAUUGAUGAGACAAGUAAUAAACAAAUACAUGUUGAUUGACCAGUGAAUCAUCCUCAGCUUUAGCGAAACCAGAUUUGGCCUUUCGCACUAAUCUGUGACAUUUUAAGAUCAGUCGAUAUAUAGAUGACCUGACAAGUGACCGUAAACUGAUCGAUAAUGAAAACAGUUGUGAAUGCUGUCCUGUUGCUGAAGCAUUGCGUUUAUUCACGGUGAUGUUCAGAGCUGUUUCACUGAUAGAUGAAAACAUUAGUCGACUAUAAAUACCUUCAGCUUAACAUUGUGAAGUGUGCAGAUCAAUAAUUCAAAAUGACAACUGUGAGUAUUGAUCAGAGGGAGCUGUGUGGACAGGGAGCUGCAGAAAGUGAAAGAAUCGAUGAAAGUGCUGAAAAACAAAA
RNAcentral lists this long non-coding RNA (1499 nucleotides) under Oreochromis niloticus (Nile tilapia). RNAcentral describes it as "lncRNA (ENSONIG00000033214.1)". Lineage: Eukaryota; Metazoa; Chordata; Actinopteri; Cichliformes; Cichlidae. The record is from RNAcentral.